CCACAGCACAAUUUCACCGCCAAGGAUUUCACGCGCGAAGACUUCGCUCCUCCUCCUCCACCCGCGGCUGCGAAAACAUCGCUUCUCCUCUCUCGCUCAUCCUCCUCCCCGCGUGUAUUGAAGUUGCAUCCUCACCGGAGCUCCUCCCUGCUGCAGCCGCUUCGCCGCAUCCUGCUUCUUCCCCACCGCCGCGGCCAUUCUCCUCGCUCGCUCCUCCUUCUCCCCACGUGUACUGAAGCCGCAUCCUCGCCGGAGCAGCCGCUGCUGCCGCUGCCGGAUACUGCUUCUUCCUCACCGCCACGGCCGGAUCCGACCUCGGCCCCUUCUGCCGUCACCGACACCGCCGUGCACUCCGCCGCUGGCCGGCACCGAGGUCGGCCCUCUUCCCCAUUUGCCACUUCAUCAUCAUCAGAUCGCCAAUGUUGA
RNAcentral lists this long non-coding RNA (426 nucleotides) under Oryza sativa tropical japonica subgroup. Its description in RNAcentral is "lncRNA OsCMeo_06g0016770". Lineage: Eukaryota; Viridiplantae; Streptophyta; Magnoliopsida; Poales; Poaceae. The record is from RNAcentral.